CAGAAAAUAGUUUAAUUAAAAUACUAGUUUUGGGGAUUAGAGAUAAGUUUUACCGCACUUUUUUUUGA
Molecule: transfer RNA, 68 nt
Filed under: Gekko chinensis (Gray's Chinese gecko)
Lineage: Eukaryota; Metazoa; Chordata; Lepidosauria; Squamata; Gekkonidae
Description: tRNA-Pro
Source: RNAcentral